This is a ribosomal RNA of Lepisosteus oculatus (spotted gar), 119 nucleotides long. Lineage: Eukaryota; Metazoa; Chordata; Actinopteri; Semionotiformes; Lepisosteidae. The record is from Ensembl.
GCCAGCAGCCAUAUCACCCUUCAACUCACAACUGGCAACCCACUGAAGCUAAGCAGGUGUGAGCCUGGUCAGUACCUGGAUAGGAGACCUCCUGGGAAAAACUAAGGUUGCUGCUGGAA